AUACCAUGGUGAUGACACUUUCGUAAUAACUUCUUGAACCACUCUCAUGCCUCAUAUAAAGAUUCUUCGUCAAGUUAUUAAAAUGAAGUGAUUUCAUUUUGGAGCUU
Gossypium arboreum is the source of this 107-nucleotide small nucleolar RNA. It matches the Rfam family "Plant small nucleolar RNA R71". From Rfam's summary of the family: R71 is a member of the C/D box family of snoRNAs containing the C (UGAUGA) and D (CUGA) box motifs. Multiple nearly identical copies of this snoRNA have been identified in Arabidopsis, and it is thought to function as a 2'-O-ribose methylation guide for 18S ribosomal RNA. Lineage: Eukaryota; Viridiplantae; Streptophyta; Magnoliopsida; Malvales; Malvaceae. The record is from Rfam.